Molecule: long non-coding RNA, 1086 nt
Organism: Glycine soja
Lineage: Eukaryota; Viridiplantae; Streptophyta; Magnoliopsida; Fabales; Fabaceae
Exons: 5
Source: RefSeq, a predicted model, not a curated record
UAUUAUUAUUUCGAAUUGAGGACGGGUUUUUGGAGUUAGCUGACCCUCGCUAGAUCGCAAUCCUUUGUCCCGUCCAUUGUAGCACGUGUGUCGCCCAUGACAUUUCAUUUUUGGUUUUCUUUGGCAUUCUUUCUUCAAGUCAAGCUGAACGCAAAUCGCAUGGUUGUUGGUACUCUCUGUGGCUUUGACCAGUUUAUGAAUUUAGUUGUUGACAACCCUGUGGAAGUGAAUGGCAAUGAGAAAAAUGACAUAGGGAUGGUGAUGAGGAUUCUAAUGGGGCAAUAGAUCAAGAGGAGUUGAAAAAGUGUAUGUUCAACGGUGUUCUAAUGGCUAACAUGUAUGUUUAUGGCUUUUCAACGGUGUUCAUUCAUCUCUGUCGGUUUUCACACGUCGUGACCAAGGGAGCUCACAACUUUCAGGUUCAGAAUCCACACAACAUUAAAUACAAUGGAACAAUUGAAGAUCUAAAAUAUAUAUGGAGAACUUAAGGUUUUCAUGGGUUGUUCAAAGGGAAUGGUACUAAUUGUGCUCAAAUUGUCCCAAAUUCUGUUGUAAAGUUCUUCAGUUAUGAGCAAGCUUCCAAAGGUAUACUACAUCUGUAUCAGAAGCAAACUAUGAUGUAUCAAUAUCAUACGUGUGAUGUGAUGUGCCUAUGCCAUUUAUAGGUUCAGAAUCCACACAACAUUAAAUACAAUGGAACAAUUCAAGGUCUAAAAUAUAUAUAUGGAGAACUUAAGGUUUUCAUGGAUUGUUCAAAGGGAAUGGUACUAAUAAUUGAAAUUUGUUUCCCCUGGUAGAAUGAAUUUAGUGUCUUCCUUUAUGCCUUUAAAACACACCAAUUUUCUUUUAUUAAUUUAUGUAUGCUUGCCUUACUAGCAUUGUGUUGCUGUCCAAUAUGAGAAUGGGCUUAAUUUGGACUGAUUUGGGGAAAUUGUCAUUAGAAGGAAGAAGGAUUGAGAUGAUAGUGAUACUGAUUAAAGUGCCUUUGGUAGUUUGGAAUUUUCAACAAAUGUUUUGUGAAUGAUGUAGUUUGAACAAUCACUUUAUUAUAAAUGUUAAGUUUAACGGUAUAUUGCAAUUAAAAAA